This 2573-nucleotide long non-coding RNA is filed under the name Sus scrofa (pig). RNAcentral describes it as "lncRNA (ENSSSCG00060024342.1)". Lineage: Eukaryota; Metazoa; Chordata; Mammalia; Artiodactyla; Suidae. The record is from RNAcentral.
UUUUUUUUUUUUCCUUAUUCUCAUUAUAAUAAAUUGAGAUUGGGACAUGCACUCAGCAUCACCUGGUUAAUAAGAGACGAGAGUCUGAGCUUGAAUCCUAGUCCUUCUUGCUCUGAAGCUCAUGCUCAGAAGCUCAUGCUCACGCUCUGAAGUCACUGCAGCAUCUUCGUACAUCAAACUUUUAUGUUUCCCCUUCGGUGACCACGAGAUGGAAUGCAGCAGAGCCCCAGCUAAGAGGGAGCAUAAUCAACCAAGCGCCUCAGCUGCUGCGCUCUCAGAUCCCUAUACAUUUUACACCAAAGCCACCCUGCCUACCUCAGCCCCAUUCCUGGGAGACGGGCUCCUCUGACCUGCGACAUUGGCGAAAGGACUGCCCCCUGGCCUUGCCGGACCUUUCCCAGAUGGCAAAGCCAAUGGUCCUUUCAUCUUUUCUUCACCCAGAGUCAGACUAGAUCCCAGAUAUCAGCUUUCCCAGCCUCUCCCUGCUCCCUGACCCCUUCCUCUCAUGUGUUUCCCCCGAUCCAAAUGUCCCACAUUUAAUCCAGCACUAGCAUCUGCUUCCUGGAGCUACCCAAACCAACACGACCACUUCCGCUGCCACCUUCAAGGUAGGUGUGGGCUGUUCAGCAAAUCCGGGCUGUGCUGAAGAUCUGAGGCGCCGUCCUGGCCGUGCUCCGUUCACUACCUCUUCUCACUCAAUGUCACCGCCUGCGAGGUAGCUCCUAGAAGAAGCCACCCUCUCACCCUCUCUCCACCCCAUCUCAAACCUCAUACCUGCUCCUUGGCCGGUGCUUCUGUGUUUAUGCCUUUCUGUUUUUGUACAUUCUGAGGCUUUGCCAUCUGGGACCUUGCUGAUCCUGGAGGGCCGGCCCCUCACGGGCCUGGCUGCUUCUUAGACACAGCCAACAACUCACCUGAGAGCUGGCCUUUCCUAAGCACAGCCCAGACUGAGAGCCACCCUGGACCACAGUCCAACCGGCCCCACUCAUCCCAGGACCAGUACCAGAUGACUUGGGAAACCCCUACUCUCCAGAGGCCACUUCAGCGAUUCAGACUAACCCACCCAAAGACUGCUUUCCCUGCCUUGCAUUGUCUUGCCUUUCCCAGAAGAUCCCAUAAAGGCCCUUGUCCAGCUUGUCCUCUAACUCGCUCUGCCUCAUGAAAGACCCUGGUGCUUCCCAUGCAGCCCCGUGUGGCAGGCUGCGUCUCCUGUGUCUAGGCAUCUGGGAGGACCAUAGUUGGUUAUUGUCUUUAAUGUUAGCAAGAUAAAUAUCGUUUUACAAAAAGAAGAAGACUCCCACAGCCUCUCCCUCCAGCCUGUUGAAAUGUGGGACCUAAGUCUCCCCUCUUUUCUCCAACUCUGCCCAUCUCUCUCUCUAUGUGGAGUUUUCCUAAAAAUGGAAUUCCACUCCCUGUAGGGUUUGGUUACCUGCAUUGUCGUGUUUAUUGCAGACAUGGCUCCGUGAUGAGAGGAGGAACAUUUUGGAAUCACAUGUAAUGGCCACAUGGCAUAUAACCCCCGGGUAAUCUGCUCCUGUUGUUUUCUGAGAGUGCUUCACAAUGAUAAAGAAUGCCACAGUCGUUGGUAGACUGUCGGGAGCCAUAGGGCUGCUCCAGUAAAGAAAGCAAAGCCACAGUCGGCACCUGCAUGAGGCUUGUCUGGUUAGCAGAAGCUACAGACAAGCUGAAGAAAGAAGAAGGAUUGCAGAGCAAUCCCUUGAAAGACAUCGGUUCCAGGAAAAUAAAAAUGAUAUCCCCUAAAAAUAUGUUAAUCUAUUUUUCUGUGUUUAUCUUUCCUUUUCUAUCUCUAUUCACAGCUUUCUUACUGCUAAAGAUUUGCCCUGGGUACGUAAAACACUUGAACCAAAACAGAAUGAAGUUGUUUAAACAAUGUAAUGGAAAAAGCCUUUGUUUUGGAGUAACAAUUUAUGGCACCUAUUUUGUGAGAGUAUUCAGGGGAAACUUAUGAUUUCAGUCCCUUUACUUAAAAAGAAGUUUGGGGCUGGGAAAAUGUUGUUUGGCCUAUAAAUUGCUAUUUUCUAUAAUAGAUAUAUUUUUUAACAGUGUCACUUGUAACUUUCAUCCCUUGUAGGGGCAUUUGUUAAUUUUUGGGUAUAAUACUCCUUUCUAUUGAAAUUGGUGGUUUGGAACUUACGUAAAUCAGUACAAUAGGUUAAAUGCUUAGCUUGCUGGCGCCAAAUAAAUCGUGGUUUUAAGAAUGCCAUGAGCCCAAAGCUUUCAUGCGUUUUGUUAACCACAUACACCUUUAGUUAAAGAAUGUUAGGUAUCAUAGUUUAUUACUUAUUAAAGCUUUGUUCUUAAUAUAGAAUAGAAUAGCUACUGUUGUUGACCUUUUAAGAAAAAUACAGUGUGAAACUUUAAGUUUGUAAUCUUGUAGGAAAAUCUGAAGUUGAAAGGAACAUGUUUUAACUAACCUUCUUUUUUGUAUCUCGGGUGGAGGGAACAAAAGGGCUUUAAAUCAAAUGUUAAUGUUAAAUCUUACACGAAAUCUGAUUGUGAAAUGGUAUAAAAACUGAUGCUUUUCAUUUAAUAAAUUGGGUCAUCUGCAGCAU